Gossypium raimondii (Peruvian cotton) is the source of this 119-nucleotide non-coding RNA. Lineage: Eukaryota; Viridiplantae; Streptophyta; Magnoliopsida; Malvales; Malvaceae. The record is from Rfam.
GGGUGCGAUCAUACCAGCACUAAUGCACCGGAUCCCAUCAGAACUCCGCAGUUAAGCGUGCUUGGGCGAGAGUAGUACUAGGAUGGGUGACCUCCUGGGAUGUCCUGGUGUUGCACCCC